This 465-nucleotide ribosomal RNA is filed under the name Vreelandella stevensii. Its description in RNAcentral is "partial 16S ribosomal RNA". It matches the Rfam family "Bacterial small subunit ribosomal RNA", at positions 338 to 795 of the family's 1533-position model. The record is from RNAcentral. Lineage: Bacteria; Pseudomonadati; Pseudomonadota; Gammaproteobacteria; Oceanospirillales; Halomonadaceae.
CCUACGGGUGGCAGCAGUGGGGAAUAUUGGACAAUGGGGGGAACCCUGAUCCAGCCAUGCCGCGUGUGUGAAGAAGGCCCUCGGGUUGUAAAGCACUUUCAGUGAGGAAGAACGCCUGGUGGUUAAUACCCAUCAGGAAAGACAUCACUCACAGAAGAAGCACCGGCUAACUCCGUGCCAGCAGCCGCGGUAAUACGGAGGGUGCGAGCGUUAAUCGGAAUUACUGGGCGUAAAGCGCGCGUAGGUGGCUUGAUAAGCCGGUUGUGAAAGCCCCGGGCUCAACCUGGGAACGGCAUCCGGAACUGUCAAGCUAGAGUGCAGGAGAGGAAGGUAGAAUUCCCGGUGUAGCGGUGAAAUGCGUAGAGAUCGGGAGGGAUACCAGUGGCGAAGGCGGCCUUCUGGACUGACACUGACACUGAGGUGCGAAAGCGUGGGUAGCAAACAGGAUUAGAUACCCUAGUAGUC